AACAUAGUGAUGUACACACAAGCUUGACAAUAGAUAAAACCCUUUCCGUACCAGAGGAUUUAAGGGAAUUUGUUUUAUUCCUAGCAUUAUAGUCCCGCCUCGCUUGCAGCAGCCCCUCCCUUCCUGUAGUGAUGAAAGGGUUAAAAACCCUUUUGUCACUUACCUGAAACCAGCGCCAAUGUUCCUUGGUGCUGGUUCAGGCUCCUCCUCCGCCGAUAUCAGCCAG
Pelobates cultripes (western spadefoot toad) is the source of this 226-nucleotide non-coding RNA. The record is from the annotation of a GenBank genome assembly. NCBI's taxonomy places the organism in Eukaryota, Metazoa, Chordata, Amphibia, Anura, Pelobatidae.